GUGGAGCGCAGGGAGGGCGCGCAGCAAGGGCGGCCGCCGUUACGGCGCGGGCGUGGUCACGUGGCCGUCGGUCACCGCUGCCACCGCCCCCUCCCGCCCUGUUCUCUUUCUGGUCGGGUCGGGCCCGGCCGGCACCACGAGCGCCCUGCAGAGACUGAGGGAGAGAGAAAGAGGAGGGGAGGAGGAGGAGGAGGAUUCAGGGAGUAGGAGCUGGGGAGCCCUCCCGCGCCACAGAAAAUUAAAUUUCCAGAGACUUGGUGAAGAUAGGAAAACUAUCAGAAAGACUAUAGCACUAUUGUACUGUGAAAAAUCAGAAAAUUGCCUUCUUUUUUUCCUCUGCUAUUUUUGGUAUGCUAGAGGUCAUAUCGGAGUUAUAGCUGCCAGCCUAUACCACAGCCACAGGAACGUGAGAUCUGAGCCGAGUCUGUGACCUACACCACAACUCACGCAACGUCGGAUCCUUAACCCACUGAGUAGUCACUUUUGGUGACAGUGUCCAGUUCUCAAAAUGUAUCAUUCCUUAUCUGAAACUAGACAUCCUCUGCAGCCAGAAGAACAAGAAGUGGGCAUUGAUCCUUUGUCUAGCUACUUAAACAAGCCUGGAGG
Molecule: long non-coding RNA, 606 nt
Filed under: Sus scrofa (pig)
Lineage: Eukaryota; Metazoa; Chordata; Mammalia; Artiodactyla; Suidae
Description: lncRNA (ENSSSCG00060035033.1)
Source: RNAcentral